Molecule: ribosomal RNA, 253 nt
Filed under: uncultured bacterium
Lineage: Bacteria
Description: partial 16S ribosomal RNA
Rfam family: Bacterial small subunit ribosomal RNA
Source: RNAcentral
UACGGAGGGGACUAGCGUUGUUCGGAAUUACUGGGCGUAAAGCGCACGUAGGCGGAUUUGUAAGUCAGGGGUGAAAUCCCGGGGCUCAACCUCGGAACUGCCUUUGAUACUGCGAAUCUCGAGUCCGGAAGAGGUGAGUGGAAUUCCUAGUGUAGAGGUGGAAUUCGUAGAUAUUAGGAAGAACACCAGUGGCGAAGGCGGCUCACUGGUCCGGUACUGACGCUGAGGUGCGAAAGCGUGGGGAGCAAACAGG